RNAcentral lists this ribosomal RNA (493 nucleotides) under uncultured bacterium. Its description in RNAcentral is "partial 16S ribosomal RNA". It matches the Rfam family "Bacterial small subunit ribosomal RNA", at positions 29 to 507 of the family's 1533-position model. The record is from RNAcentral.
ACGCACGCUGGCGGCGUGCUUAACACAUGCAAGUCGAACGGUGAAGCGCCUUCCUUUUUGGUGGGUGUGGAUGAGUGGCGAACGGGUGAGUAACACGUGAGUAACCUGCCCCCUUCUUCUGGAUAACCGCAUGAAAGUGUGGCUAAUACGGGAUAUUCUGGGUCUGUCGCAUGAUGGGUCUGGGAAAGAUAUUGUUUCGGUGGGGGAUGGGCUCGCGGCCUAUCAGCUUGUUGGUGGGGUGAUGGUCUACCAAGGCGGUGACGGGUAGCCGGCCUGAGAGGGUGGACGGUCACACUGGGACUGAGACACGGCCCAGACUCCUACGGGAGGCAGCAGUGGGGAAUAUUGCACAAUGGGCGCAAGCCUGAUGCAGCGACGCCGCGUGAGGGAUGGAGGCCUUCGGGUUGUGAACCUCUUUCGCCAGUGAAGCAGGCCUGCCUCGUUUGUGGGUGGGUUGACGGUAGCUGGAUAAGAAGCGCCGGCUAACUACGUG